GCUAUCUCCAAAUGUGGUGAGGGCGUACGAACCGAGUCAGGGCGGAAACGCAGCAGCUCUAAGUGCUAACCCUCAGGUGCAGGCGGAGAUAGCAUU
Molecule: signal recognition particle RNA, 96 nt
Filed under: Planctomycetaceae bacterium
Lineage: Bacteria; Pseudomonadati; Planctomycetota; Planctomycetia; Planctomycetales; Planctomycetaceae
Description: signal recognition particle sRNA small type
Rfam family: Bacterial small signal recognition particle RNA
About the family: The signal recognition particle (SRP) is a universally conserved ribonucleoprotein involved in the co-translational targeting of proteins to membranes.
Source: RNAcentral